GUCCAUGCCGUAAACGAUGUCUACUAGCCGUUGGGGCCUUUGAGGCUUUAGUGGCGCAGCUAACGCGAUAAGUAGACCGCCUGGGGAGUACGGUCGCAAGACUAAAACUCAAAUGAAUUGACGGGGGCCCGCACAAGCGGUGGAGCAUGUGGUUUAAUUCGAUGCAACGCGAAGAACCUUACCUGGCCUUGACAUCCAAAGAAUUUUGCAGAGAUGCGAAAGUGCCGAAAGGAGCUUUGAGACAGGUGCUGCAUGGCUGUCGU
This 263-nucleotide ribosomal RNA is filed under the name uncultured bacterium. Its description in RNAcentral is "partial 16S ribosomal RNA". It matches the Rfam family "Bacterial small subunit ribosomal RNA", at positions 793 to 1055 of the family's 1533-position model. The record is from RNAcentral.